This 2232-nucleotide long non-coding RNA is filed under the name Gallus gallus (chicken). Lineage: Eukaryota; Metazoa; Chordata; Aves; Galliformes; Phasianidae. The record is from RNAcentral.
CCCUUCCAGCCCAUCCUGUUCUGAGGUUCUGUUACAUGAAUGCUGUUGUUUGUGGUGCUCAGUGCUGUCACGCUGUGGGAUCCAGCUGCUAGAAUCAGUCCUGCAGUCCCAACAAGCUGUGUGAGUAGGAGGAGCUCUGGGUUCAUGCAUGGUGGUACCCCACAGCACUACUGGACCCAGAGCAGAGCAUCAGGAAAGGCCUUGGGCUGCAGGGCAGGGCCUGUCCAGGAGCCACAGCGUUCUCUGAAUGAUGGUGAGGUGGAUUUUGUUGUUGUCUCCCCAGUUCUCUCAGUGCUGCAGCCCAGGUGAGGAUCCAAGGAGCGUGGCUCUGGUGCCCUCAGGCUGUUCCCAUGCAGCAGGUGGGAUUCAGGCUGAACUCUGUUGGCUGGGACACGGCUGCUCGGUUUCUGGUUCCUUUCUGUGCUGCCUCUGAGCACGUUGGAUGUCAGGAAACAUUUCCUCUAGGAAAAAGAGUUCUGGAAGUGCUGCCCAGGGAAGUGGGGGAGUCCCCAUUCCUGGAGAUGUGGCACUUUGGGACACGGUGGGAUGUGGUUGGAUUUGAUGAUGUUAGAGGUCUUUUCCAACCCGAAUGGGUUUGUGUUGGUCCUGCCCUGGGAUCACAGCUCGUGCGUGGCGUCGUUCAGGACGUGUCUGCAGAAGGUGCUCUGCAAUGAAGGCAUUGAUGUUGGUGGGAUGUUACAAAGGAGACCUCAGAACGGGUGAGCUCUGUUCUGCUGGCCUCAAGGUUUGUGUUUAAAGUUGGAAGUGUCAUCUGUAGGGCACAGAACGGUGCUCACUCGUGUUAUGUCAGUUUGGAUCUUGGCACAGCAGGGCUGGAGGUGUGAAGGGUCUGUGGGGUGUUUGGUUGCGUGCUGAGGACAGACAGACUGACUGACUGACUGACUGACUGACAGCUGAACGUGGCAAAGCUGAGGAGCUGCUGCUGCAGAGCCUCCCUGAGCAUCCAUCUGCUGCAGAAUGCACACCCACGUGUCUGUGAGCAGCUCUCUGACAUCGGGGGUCAGUCUGACAGCGUUUCCUUCCCUCUGGAUUUCCUGCACCCCCUCCCUGAAGGCAGCUUUUAGAUAAGGCUGGGAGGAAGGGCGCGCUGCUCCCCUCUGCCUGUGACUAAUUGCUGUACAGGUUGGGUCGGUCUCAGGGCUGCACCUCCCCGCCCCGCACAGCAUCGAGCUGCUGGGAGGGAGCUGCCCUCCAGCCCCCCAGGCAGGGCUGGGAAUGGGCUCUGUCCGUGCCCACCUCUGUGUGCUGUGGGGUUGGGGAGCGUGCCAGGACCCCAACAGCCUCGUGCCAUCACAGAAACUGAAAGCAUGCGGAGCUGCUGCGAGGCCGUAGAGGGGGCAGGAAAGGAAAUGGGGUGUGUGGGAGCCCGGCAUGGUGCCCCAUGGGGAGGGUGGGGCUCUGCAUGGAGCUGGUACCCAGCUCCCUGUGGGUAUUCAUCCCAUAGAACUGCCAUGGCUCGUGGUGUUCUGACAGUGGUUGAGCUGAGGUCUCUUGGUGCUCGCGGUUCUCUCUGUGCAGAGUGGUGGCUGCUGUCUGCCUGCUGUGGCUGGGGGGGGGCUCCGAUCUUCCCCAUGGUCUGUGUGGGUCUGGGAAGGAGCAGCAUAGGUUGAGAAUGUGUCUAGCAUUGAGCAAGGGCUCAUCGCUGGCUUUCUGUAUGGAGCACAGCUUGAGGCCUGGCCCCGCACUGGGUGGAGUUGCUAGCGGAUGUGCCAUGGGGUGGCUGUGGGGCGGCUGCUGCCAUCGUCCCGGGGGUGGCUGUGGGGCGGCUGCUGCUGCCAUCCCGGGGGUGGCUGUGGGGCGGCUGCUGCUGCCAUCCCGGGGGUGGCUGUGGGGCGGCUGCUGCCAUCAUCCCUGGGGUGGCUGUGGGGCGGCUGCUGCUGCCAUCGUCCCUGGGGUGGCUGUGGGGCUGCUGCUGUUGCAGGACAGCCGCUUGCUGCUGGCAGUGGGAUCUCACUGCGUGCUGCCGCGCGCGGCCCAGCCAAGUGAGUCAUCAUUUGACUCAGACGCAGCGGCCGCUCCACGCGCGUGGAAGCCCCAUCCAUUGAACCAACCUCCAGUGGUUGCUAACAGUGAGCUGGGUUUGCCACAUCCACGUCGGGGGGGGAAGGACGGCUCCGUGUGUGCGUGCACUGCUGCCUGUCUGACUGCAGCACCCCUGCGUGGGGGGCAGCCUGAGGGGUGCGCAGCCUGGAGGAGGGAAGGCUGAGAGGG